CAGUUAUCGUUUAUUUGAUAGUACCUUACUACUUGGAUACCUGUGGUAAUUCUAGAGCUAAUACAUGCUAAAAACCUCGACUUCGGAAGGGGUGUAUUUAUUAGAUAAAAAACCAAUGCCCUCCGGGGCUCUCUGGUGAAUCAUAAUAACUUGACGAAUCGCAUGGCCUUGCGCCGGCGAUGGUUCAUUCAAAUUUCUGCCCUAUCACCUUUCGAUUGUUGGGUCUUGGCCAACAAUGGGAUCUACGGGUAACGGGGAAUUAGGUAUGUGGGAUCCGCGAGCAGUGGGAGUUAGGAUCGCUGAGACUCGUGCAGGGUUCGAUUCCGGAGAGGGAGCCUGAGAAACGUAAGUUCUCGACUUAUUUUCGGUUUGUCCGGGCUGGCACUGACCCUAUUAUUAGGGCUACCACAUCCAAGGAAGGCAGCAGGCGCGCAAAUUACCCAAUCCCGACACGGGGAGGUAGUGUAAGUUGAAUCGUUCCGGUUGGUAGUAGCGCACCCAGGUUAAUGUCGUUUCAGGACAAUAAAUACUGAUGCAGGGCUCAUUUGAGUCUUGCAAUUGGAAUGAGUACAAUUUAAAUCUCUUAACGAGGAACAAUUGGAGGGCAAGUCUGGUGCCAGCAGCCGCGGUAAUUCCAGCUCCAAUAGCGUAUAUUAAAGUUGGUAUGUGUUGAUUCCACGCCCGUAACCAGAAUUCGGUGGCUAAUGCCCCCUACAGUUGCAGUUAAAAAGCUCGUAGUUGAAACUUGGAUCUGGCUGACUGGUCCGCCUCACCGCGUGCACUAGCUCGGCCGGGUCUUUCCUCCUGGGGAUCCCCAUGCCCUUCAUUGGGUGUGGUGGGGAAUCAGGACUUUUACUUUGAAAAAAUUAGAGUGUUCAAAGCAGGCCUAUGCUCGAAUACAUUAGCAUGGAAUAAUAGAAUAGGACGUGUGGUCUUAUUUUGUUGGUUUCUAAGACCGCCGUAAUG
This 966-nucleotide ribosomal RNA is filed under the name Megalaria grossa. RNAcentral's name for it is "bacterial SSU rRNA". It matches the Rfam family "Eukaryotic small subunit ribosomal RNA", at positions 107 to 867 of the family's 1831-position model. The record is from RNAcentral. Lineage: Eukaryota; Fungi; Ascomycota; Lecanoromycetes; Lecanorales; Megalariaceae.